AGUGAACGCUGGCGGUAGGCCUAACACAUGCAAGUCGAACGGCAGCACAGUAAGAGCUUGCUCUUACGGGUGGCGAGUGGCGGACGGGUGAGGAAUACAUCGUAAUCUACUUUUUCGUGGGGGUUAACGUAGGGAAACUUACGCUAAUACCGCAUACGACCUACGGGGGAAAGCAGGGGAUCUUCGCACCUUGCGCGAUUGAAUGAGCGGAUGUCGGAUUAGCUAGUUGGCGGGGUAAAUGCCCACCAAGGCGACGAUCCGUAGCUGGUCUGAGUGGAUGAUCGGCCACAUUGGAACUGAGACACGGUCAAGGCUCCUAAGGGAGGCAGCAGUGGGGAAUAUUGGACAAUGGGCGCAAGCCUGAUCCAGCCAUACCGCGUGGGUGACGAAGGCCUUCGGGUUGUAAAGCCCUUUUGUUGGGAAAGAAAAGCAGCAGGUUAAUACCCCGCUGUUCUGACGGUACCCAAAGAAUAAGCACCGGCUAACUUCGUG
Molecule: ribosomal RNA, 492 nt
Filed under: uncultured bacterium
Lineage: Bacteria
Description: partial 16S ribosomal RNA
Rfam family: Bacterial small subunit ribosomal RNA
Source: RNAcentral